This 73-nucleotide transfer RNA is filed under the name Ignisphaera aggregans. Its description in RNAcentral is "tRNA-Cys". It matches the Rfam family "tRNA". From Rfam's summary of the family: Transfer RNA (tRNA) molecules are approximately 80 nucleotides in length. Lineage: Archaea; Thermoproteati; Thermoproteota; Thermoprotei; Desulfurococcales; Desulfurococcaceae. The record is from RNAcentral.
GGGCCCGUAGUCUAGCUUGGCUAGGAUGCGGGGUACAAUCCCCGUGAUCCCGGGUUCGAAUCCCGGCGGGCCC